GAUGAACGCUGGCGGCGUGCUUAACACAUGCAAGUCGAACGAAGCAUUUAGAACAGAUUAUUUCGGUAUGAAGUUCUUUAUGACUGAGUGGCGGACGAGUGAGUAACGCGUGGGUAACCUGCCUUGUACUGGGGGAUAGCAGCUGGAAACGGCUGGUAAUACCGCAUAAGCGCACGGUGCCGCAUGGCACAGUGUGAAAAACUCCGGUGGUAUAAGAUGGACCCGCGUCUGAUUAGCUAGUUGGUGAGAUAACAGCCCACCAAGGCGACGAUCAGUAGCCGACCUGAGAGGGUGACCGGCCACAUUGGGACUGAGACACGGCCCAGACUCCUACGGGAGGCAGCAGUGGGGAAUAUUGCACAAUGGAGGAAACUCUGAUGCAGCGACGCCGCGUGAGUGAAGAAGUAAUUCGUUAUGUAAAGCUCUAUCAGCAGGGAAGAUAGUGACGGUACCUGACUAAGAAGCUCCGGCUAAAUACGUGCCAGCAGCAGCCGCAG
Molecule: ribosomal RNA, 497 nt
Filed under: uncultured bacterium
Lineage: Bacteria
Description: partial 16S ribosomal RNA
Rfam family: Bacterial small subunit ribosomal RNA
Source: RNAcentral